AUGCGAAUUGAUGAAAAGGCAGCAGCAGUGGCCAGGAAGCGUGAUCUGGAAGGUAAUAACAACUCGAACAAUACUUUUGAUGUUCUUUCUGAUCCGGAGUUGAUUUUGCGUGCUGUUAAAAUGGGUGUCAAUGUUCCUGACACAGAUUUUGCGAGCGUAGAUAUCCUCUGUGAGCUUGAAAAAACUAGAGCUAACCUCCAGAAAAUUAAUACUGAGAGUGUUCACGACGAUAACAAUAGUCAAACUCUCUUCCUAACUAAUGCCAAGGGGGAUAAGACUCCGCUAAAUAUGGAAUGGGGGGAUGAGCGUGAAUCUGAAUCUGAUACUAAUCAAUACACUCUGGUGAGAUCUAGAAAGAAAAGAGCGCGGAAACCUAUGGUGAAUAUCAAUAGACCUGUUACUAGAAGUCAAAAAAAUAAGGAUAUGCCUUUGAAUAAGGUUGGGGAGAAAAAAUGCUAUGGUGAUUAA
RNAcentral lists this ribosomal RNA (468 nucleotides) under Triticum aestivum (bread wheat). Its description in RNAcentral is "partial small subunit ribosomal RNA". The record is from RNAcentral. Lineage: Eukaryota; Viridiplantae; Streptophyta; Magnoliopsida; Poales; Poaceae.